Molecule: ribosomal RNA, 450 nt
Filed under: uncultured prokaryote
Description: bacterial SSU rRNA
Rfam family: Bacterial small subunit ribosomal RNA
Source: RNAcentral
UCGAGAAUCUUCCGCAAUGCGCGCAAGCGUGACGGAGCGACGCCGCGUGGGGGAAGAAGGCCUUCGGGUUGUAAACCCCUGUCGACCUGGAAAGAAUGGCGGGUAGUUAAUAGCUUUCUCGCUUGACGGUACCAGGACAGGAAGCACCGGCUAAAUACGUGCCAGCAGCCGCGGUAAUACGUAUGGUGCAAACGUUGUUCGGAAUCACUGGGCUUAAAGAGCACGUAGGCGGUUAAGAAAGUCUGAUGUGAAAUCCCUCGGCUCAACCGAGGAACUGCAUCAGAAACUUCUUAGCUUGAGUGCAGAAGGGGAGAGUGGAAUUCCUGGUGGAGCGGUGAAAUGCGUAGAUAUCAGGAGGAACGCCGGUGGCGAAAGCGACUCUCUGGUCUGCAACUGACGCUAAGGUGCGAAAGCUAGGGGAGCGAACGGGAUUAGAUACCCCCGUAGUCC